RNAcentral lists this transfer RNA (72 nucleotides) under Stegodyphus mimosarum. It matches the Rfam family "tRNA". Rfam says of the family: Transfer RNA (tRNA) molecules are approximately 80 nucleotides in length. Lineage: Eukaryota; Metazoa; Arthropoda; Arachnida; Araneae; Eresidae. The record is from Rfam by way of RNAcentral.
GCCUUCGUAGCGCAGUGGUCAGCACGCUCGACGCGUACUCGAAAGGCCUGUGGUUCGAAUCCCGGCGAGGCA